RNAcentral lists this ribosomal RNA (853 nucleotides) under Cortinarius colymbadinus. RNAcentral describes it as "eukaryotic LSU rRNA". It matches the Rfam family "Eukaryotic large subunit ribosomal RNA", at positions 78 to 913 of the family's 3401-position model. Lineage: Eukaryota; Fungi; Basidiomycota; Agaricomycetes; Agaricales; Cortinariaceae. The record is from RNAcentral.
CCCUAGUAACUGCGAGUGAAGCGGGAAAAGCUCAAAUUUAAAAUCUGGCGGUCUUUUGGCUGUCCGAGUUGUAAUCUAGAGAAGUGUUAUCCGCGCUGGACCGUGUACAAGUCUCCUGGAAUGGAGCAUCAUAGAGGGUGAGAAUCCCGUCUUUGACAUGGACUGCCAGGGCUUUGUGAUGCGCUCUCAAAGAGUCGAGUUGUUUGGGAAUGCAGCUCAAAAUGGGUGGUAAAUUCCAUCUAAAGCUAAAUAUUGGCGAGAGACCGAUAGCGAACAAGUACCGUGAGGGAAAGAUGAAAAGAACUUUGGAAAGAGAGUUAAACAGUACGUGAAAUUGCUGAAAGGGAAACGCUUGAAGUCAGUCGCGUCGUCCAGGGAUCAACCUUGCUUUUGCUUGGUGCACUUUCUGGUUUGACGGGUCAGCAUCAAUUUUGACCGUUGGAAAAAGGUCAAGGGAAUGUGGCAUCUUUGGAUGUGUUUAUAGCCCUUGGUCACAUACAAUGGUUGGGAUUGAGGAACUCAGCACGCCGCAAGGCCGGGUUUUAAACCACGUACGUGCUUAGGAUGCUGGCAAUAUGGCUUUAAUCGACCCGUCUUGAAACACGGACCAAGGAGUCUAACAUGCCUGCGAGUGUUUGGGUGGAAAACCCGAGCGCGUAAUGAAAGUGAAAAGUUGAGAUCCCUGUCGUGGGGAGCAUCGACGCCCGGACCAGACCUUUUGUGACGGUUCCGCGGUAGAGCAUGUAUGUUGGGACCCGAAAGAUGGUGAACUAUGCCUGAAUAGGGUGAAUCCAGAGGAAACUCUGGUGGAGGCUCGUAGCGAUUCUGACGUGCAAAUCGAUCGUCAAAUUUG